Sus scrofa (pig) is the source of this 7164-nucleotide non-coding RNA. The record is from RefSeq and is a predicted model, not a curated record. NCBI's taxonomy places the organism in Eukaryota, Metazoa, Chordata, Mammalia, Artiodactyla, Suidae.
AAUUGCUCCUUAACCCACUGCACCACUGGAGAACUCCUAGAAUAGGCUAUAUUGUUUUUCCAUUUAUUCAUUCUUUAAUAUUUUCUAAUGUUCACUUGCUUAUUAAGCACCAACUGCAUGCCACAUAUUGGCAAUGGCACUGGGGAUAUAACCCUAAAGAAUACACACUCCCUCUGUCAGUGAGCUUAUGAGCUAAACUUGUAAAGAGGGGACACAGAUAUAAAUAAGACAAAAUUUAGGGUAUUGUCAGAUAAUAAAUGUUAAGGAGAAAUACAAAGCAAGGGAAAUAAUAAGUAUGAUGGGGAAAUAAAAGUUUAUUCUGUUAGCUAGGAACAGUCUCACUGAGAUGGUGACAUUUGGGUUAAGAUCUCACUAAAACAGGCAAAGGAACUAGCCAUAAGGAUGUCGAGGGGGAAUGAAUUCCAAGAAAGUGAACUAUGAAUGCAAAGACCUUGAAGCACAGAAUGCCUCAAGGGUUCCUGGAACUGUAAGAGUCCAUAUUAGUUCCAGUGGACUGACUGAGGAGAAGAAUGGGAGAAAAUGAGGUCGGAGAAUUAAAAUAAGGUCAGACAGCAUAUGAUUUUGAAGCCAUUCCCUAUGAAACAACUUGAUUCUGAAAAUUUUAGAGGAAUGGCUUGGAAAUGCUAUGGUGACUGGAUGGUUUAAAGCCACACCUGCAGGUUAUCAAAAUUCUUGUGCCAGGGGUCAAAAUGGAGCUGCAGCUGCAGGCCUACACCACAGCCACAGCCACACCAGUCCAAGCCACAUCUGCGAACUACGUCACAGCUCGCAAAAUGCUGGAUCCUUAACCUACUGAACAAGGCCAGGAAUUGAACCCGCAUCCUCACAGACACUGUGUCAGGCUCUUAACCUGCUGUGCCACAACUCCUGUCUCAUUUACUUUUGAUUCUUAUUUUGAUCUAAAAGGAAUGAAACUGCUUAGUGAUAUUAAGGUUUAUUUGAUUGUUGAAAUGGAAUAUCAACAUCUAUAUGCAAUUACUUAAAAUUCAGCCUCAAAGGUGAAGUUUUUCUAUCUCAGCAAUAUAGAGCUUACUAAAUACAUUACUAUUUUAUCGUUUUAUUCUUAUUAUGAAUCUGCUCAAUAUGAGAACUAUAAAAAUGAUGAGUUCUGGUCUUAAAUAGCAUCCUCUUUUCCAACAAUGUGUUAAACCUGUAUAUUAAUCCCAAAGAAGGCAUGGAAAAGCAAAGUUGUUACCUAAUACACUAGAAUUAUCUAAAUGAAUCACUGAAGCAGGUAAAAUGGAUUGGAGAGGACACAGGUGAAACUAGUUUCAUGAAGUAGUUAACUGAAAACAACUAGGGAGAGCAUUCAGAAAAAGUUUAAUUUUGUGUGUAUGGAUUCUUCUAUUGUCCAUAAAUGUCCUAGAUGUUAUCUUAACUCAUUGUUUUUUCCCUCUUUUAUACUAGUCAGAUUUCUAAUCUCUACUAUCACAUUGGUGAAAUUAAUCUAAAUAUACUAAGUAGUCAAAGCAGUUUUCAAGAGGCAUAGUCUAGUUUAUUUCUGAUAUAUUAAGAAAUACAUUACUAUUUUAUAAUAUUUUACUAUAUUAAAAACAAUACAAUCAAUUACACAGACAAAUUACUUAGAGAGCAUACUACUGAAACCCCUAGGUGGAAUGUCAGACAAGUAAAUAUACAAUUUAGAAAAAUAAACUUAAGAGAAUGAAAGGCAAAUAUGAUUUUGUGCCUGGGAGUCUACAAACAAAAAUUACCAGGUUAGUAUUAUGUUAUUACUGUGUUUCAUCUUUUUUUUUAGUUCUUAAUAAAAAAUAUAUAUAUUACCCUCAUUAGAGUAGUAUCUGAGCCUAAUGUAGAUAAACCCUUACAUUAAAAAUAUUGCAUGGAUACUAAUAUCUCUGCUCCUAUCAAUUGUAGAAUCCAUAGGAAUUAAUAGCACCACAGUAUGAUUUAAAAGUCUCUGUUUUUAGAUAAAACAUAUAUAACUGUACAUUGCAAUCUUAUCUUUGUAAUUCAUAAAUCAAUUCCACAGAUGGCAUUUAUGAAUCUUCCUGAAAAAGCAGAUGUUUGACCUGGAGUCAUUUCCAUCACACAUAUGGUCCACAUCUAGGUUAGUUUCUCUGGCCACUGUUGGUUUUUCCAGUUAAUGUUCUAUAACGCCUUACUUGAAAUUAACUCAUGCACUACUGAUUGUUAGAAAGUACAAAAUGUUUUUUCCUUAUUGUCAGCACAUAGCUCACUGCUCAAAAUAAGAUUCUAGAUUAUCAGAAGCAAGCAAUAUAUGGGAAAAAAGAUAAGGACCAUGCUGAGAUUCAGAAGCUUAUAAUUUCUAUUCCUGACCUCAGAGCAGAUUUUUUGACGCUUGUGGAAAAGAUAUACCUUUUUGAGAUGGUUUCUUCAUCUUUAAAAUAUAUAUAAUAAUUUCCCUCCAUAUUCCCUAGGGAUACUAGACAGAUCUAAUUAAACACAUUUAGGGAAUACAUUGACAACUAUACCACAUAUAGAAUAUUGGUAUUAUUAACUUCAUGGGAUUGAUCCCACCAAAUUUUAUCGAUAUGUUUUCGUUCAUCAAGUUAGCUAUUUUACUGGGCUCAUUUUGGUUUACACAGAAAGGGAAAACAUAGAAUUGGGGUUUAAAAAUAAGCAAAGUGAUUUGACCUUGGUCUCUUCCUAAUCUAUAUACUUCCCACUAACUUUAAUUUCUUUUCAUUUAAUUUCACCCUCUUCUUUAAAAAGAGGUAAAGGAGAAGAAAGACAAAAAUAUUUAGAUUAAUAAUAGAAAGUCUUGUAAAAGAAGAUCAGGCACUGUGGAAUAAUUCUACAGUAAUCACUCUAGUAACAGGAAGCAAGCAGAAAAUUGUGAUGCCAUCGAGGAGAAGCCAUCAAGGCUGUCCACGCCAGGACAUUUGCCUUAUCUUUUCAACAGACCAGAGCAGGCCAUAUGCACAAAGAAUUGGUGGCACUAAUUAACUCACAAGAGACUAAGAUAUUUACCAGGAAGCAACUUCAUUAAUUACAAAGAAAUAAAACUUUAUUAGUAUCAGGCAUCAAUUCGUACCCACAUCUUCUCUAGCAACUCUUACAGAAUGCUAGUUUAAUAAUAGUGACAACAGAAUACAAACUUAAUGCAAAUUACCCCAAAUUUUCUGUUAUAACUACUAGAUAUUGAAAGCUCCUGGUAAAAAUUAUCUUUCACCUUGUCUAUGUUCUUAGGUCAUUUUCUAAAGCCACCCGUCUGACACAAUUCUGUGUUACCAUGGUAUCUUUGGCCUCUUUUUUCUUGUGAUAUAUUUUUUAUAUUGGUUGUUAAUAUAAUAAGUUAUAAUUUGUCAUUUUAUGAUUUUUUAGAUAAAAAAGGUAUUUUUAUCUUCUUUAAAAACUUCUGGAUUCUUUUGAUUUGGCCAUUAUAUAUUUAAUUUUUUCACUCUCCAAAUUCCACAUCCAUAUCUCCAUAUGACUGGUAAUUAUAGGGCUAUGUUUAGGAUAAUAGUAGAAGUUACAAAAAUAAACUUGAUAUAUGAUCCCAUAGUGCUUUGUCCCAAUCCCCAUAAUCAAAGAAUGUCAUGAAAAUGAUUUGAAAUUUACUUUUUAAAUAUAACACUUUAUUUUGCUCUUUUGAAAAGAAACAGUCCAACCACAUGGCUGGUUCCAUAUUCAUUCAUAUAUGAGUUCUCCUGUGGGCCUCCCAUGUAUUCUGUUGGUAUGUACACUAAACUCUGUCUCCUGAUCUCCCAAAGAUAGCAAAAAGGUGUGAAAAAUUCAAUUAUUUUUUUACUGAUUAUUUAGUGCUUCAUGAUGUGCAAAUGUUAUUCUGGAAGAAUUCCAGUCAAGCAGCUUUAUAGAGGGUAAUGAAAUUAUAUGAUACUUGCUCUAGUGAAGUUGUAGAAAUAACUUAAUGACACUUGGAAAAAAUAAAGAUUAGCCUUUAUUGUUGUAUUAUUCAUUUGGUUUUUAUAAUAUAUGCUAGAAUGGAGAAGUUUCAAAAUAUUUCAAUAGUAUUAGAAUUUUAAAACAUCUUUAUGUACUUAUUUCAAAAUUAUUAAAUAUUUAAUGUCUAUAUAUAAUGUCAUUCUUUCAUUCAUUUAUCAAAUAUAUGUCAAUUUAAACAUUAAGCCAUGUAUAUGAAUAAUCAUGUAUUACUGUCCUGAAACAUUUUCUUCCUAUUCCAUAUAUUGAGGACCUAUUCAUGUAAAAAAUAAAUAGAUUCUCCACCACUUAAAUAUCCAAGCACAUAAACAGCAAAUUUAAGAACUUAAUCAUUCCUACUCUCUUCUUAUAUUACUAAUGGGUCUAUCUCCUCCUUUUAAUGUUGUGUAAUAUCUUAUGAAUGAUAAAUAAAGAGCAAUAGUAGAGAACUUAGAAUUUGACAAAUAUAUCAGAUUCCUCUUGUUCCAAUGUAUAUGAAGUUAUAUUUGGAUUCAAGAUACCUCUGAAAAACCACUGAAACACAGUAAAGUAUAAUGUAUGCUAGCUGUGAAUCUCUUCUCUAGAUGUUAUCUCAGGGUUUAUUUCUAAUGGAGGUUCUGUUUAAAGAUGUAAUGAAGGAAAAUUUCUUAUUUGCUACUUUCUUAAUGUGCACAAAUACUGUGGAUACUUCUGAUCUAUCAAGUUGCCUUAAAUGAAUUAGUUCAAAAUGAGGGCCCCUCUGCCAGAUAGGAGAGAUUAAUUCUUUUCUCUGAGAGUGUCAAAUAUCCAACUGUUUUUUUAAAAUGAGUGUUGUUAGCUACGUCUACAGGUAUACAGGUCUACAGCUAUGUCUACAGGUAUCCUGGUAACACUUAUUAAUGAUGUUAAUAUCAAGUUAUAAUUGAGAUACAUUUAAUAAAACUUAUCCUAGAAGCAAAAGGAAUACCUGUCUUAACUGGGUUUUCUUCUCUCAAACUUACCUAUCCCAAACCUGAAUGAGAAAUUAGUACAGAAUUAUAUACAGUCAGAUAAGCUGUCUUAUGAAAUGGUAUCAGAGAGAUCCAUGAGCUAUGGGUAGAAUAAAAUUAUGAAAUGAUUAUUGAGCACAGCCACAUAUAGAGUAGUGAGAUGACAGAUUGGGAAGGUUGCAUAAAUCCGAAUAGCAAGUGAGACCAAGGUAUGAACGCACAUGUACAACACAUGACUGGAGAACAGAAGGCCACUGGUUCUAAAGGGCCUAUUAAGUGGUAAAUGAAUUUUCUAUCAGCGACAUGUAUACAUACAUGACUCAAUGGCUUAAAUAUAAAGUAUUAGACUUGAAGAAUGUGAAGACCAUAGAAUAGCUGAAGUGAAAUUGGCAACAAUUAUGGACACAAAAUAAAAAUCAAGUUCAAUUAAGAAGAAAUUUUUAAAAGGUAAGUCUUUUGCACACCUCUGUCAGUGAAAAAUCGUACUCACUGCUUACUCUGUAUUCAUUUAUGAAGAGCUCAGUAUAUUUUAGAUAACAUCCUAGGAACAUGGACAUAUAACCAAAUAGCACGGCAAACAUAACCUGAGUUCAUAGAAUCUUCAAAAGAGUGAGUUAAGAAAAAAAGUAACCAAAGUUUGGCCAAGUAAUGGAAGAAAUAUGAUUAAGUGUAUAAUUCUUACAAAAAUUUUCCUAUUUUUUUUUUUUUAGAUUUUGUAAACUCUAAGUAUGUCUGAUACGUCAUUUGCCUAAUUUGUUGCUGAAUCUUUGCUCUUGAGUUUUCUCUCUCAAUGUUUUCUGCUCCUUCAUCACUUCCAGCCCUAGGUAGAUUACCUGCCACUGCUACAUAUACUGUGGUGCCAUAUAAUUUGUCUGGAUAAUACUCAUCACACUUGUAUUUUCCACAUCUAUAUUACUGGCCUAUUAGUAACUGUGAACAAGAGUCUACAUCUAUAUUCACUAGAUUCCAAACCACAUGAAGAUAAGGAUUGUGACUGCUUGAUUUCCCACCGUGUCCACCACGUCCAGCAAUAGAACCUACUGCUGAGAGGAAAAUCAUCAAGAGAUUGGUAAAUUAAUUAAAUCCUUAAAAGUACGUCUCUGAGAUGUUGAAAUACCAGGUUCUCAGUCCUUUAGCUUCUGAUGUUUUAAUUAAUAGAUGGAUAGAAAUUAAUAACUAGCAGAACUUCUAGUGAAGACUUCCAUUAAAUAGUUUGUCUCAAUUGCCAGAUGUUUUAAAACUGCCUGUAGCAAGUGCUAGAUAGAUAAGGGUAACAUCUGUUGCCUUAAUUAGAGUAAGUUUAACAUCAAUUAGCAUCUCUGAACUUCAGUUUCAUCCCUUGUAAAAUUACAGGAUUGGUUAAAAUGAUCUGCAAUCUUCCUUUCAGUUUUAGAAUUUUUCACCUGUCUUUGUGUUUGCCCAGCUUCCUCUUAUGUGAUUAAAUCUGCUGAUACACUCUCAGAGUCAUUCAAGUAGAGAUGCAGAAACCACGUGUUUAAAAUUAAGGGCAGGUGCCAUUACAAUCAAAGGAUUAUAAGAACGUAGAUAUUUUGAUCCAAUUUCCAGAAAAUGCAAUGCAAAUGCAAUAAUCUGAGAUUAUUAUAUUUUCUAUGCUAUCCUCAUUUAUCGCCUUCAGAUUAAGUUAAUUUUUUUAAUAUGGGCAUGAUUUACAAUAAGCCUAAUUGCACACUUCAAUAUACAAAUCUGUCCUUUUUACUUGCCACCUCUGUUCAUUUUCAUCAAUAUAAAAGUCAUAUUAAAAAAACCCCAGAAACUAGCACAAUAGUUGUAUCUCCUUAACUCUAUUUCAACUUUGUAUUUCUUUGAGUAUGCAUAUAUACAUACCUGCAUGUGGGCAUAUUUAGAAUUUCUAAAAUAAUUUUGCAUCCUUCUCUUUUACUCAACAUAAACAAUAUAAGCAUUUCCUAAACUCAUCACAGUCAUGAUUCAUCACAUAAAUUAGUCUUUGUCAGUAAACUAUAAAUAUUUAACCAUUUUCCUAUAGCUAGAUCACUGUUGUCAACAAUUUUUCUAUCCUCGCUAUAUAGAAACAAAAGGUAUUUGUUUCAUAACUUUUUUCUUAUACUGAAUAAUUAUUUGAGGAUAUUUGUCAGUAGUCAAAAAAAUUAGAUCAUGAAAAUGCAUCUAUCCAAAAGCAUUUCAUUUCAUAAGAUGACAGCACAGGCACUGAGUGCACUUUAGGGAGUUCCCAUUGUGGCUCAUAAGUAACAAACUUGACUAUUAUCCAUGAGGAUACAGGUUCGAUCCCUGGCCCUUCUCAGUGGGUUGAGGAUCUGGCGUUGCUGUAAGC